CCUACGGGAGGCAGCAGUGAGGAAUAUUGCGCAAUGGGGGCAACCCUGACGCAGCGACGCCGCGUGAGUGAGGAAGGCCUUCGGGUCGUAAAGCUCUGUCAGCAGGGAAGAAGUGUGAGGGGGUUAACAGCCUUUUCAUUUGACGGUACCUGCAGAGGAAGCACCGGCUAACUCCGUGCCAGCAGCCGCGGUAAUACGGAGGGUGCGAGCGUUGUUCGGAAUUACUGGGCGUAAAGGGCGCGCAGGCGGCUUUAUAAGUCAGAUGUGAAAGUCCACGGCUUAACUGUGGAAGUGCAUUUGAAACUGUGAGGCUUGAGUACCAGAGGGGAAGGUGGAAUUCCCGGUGUAGAGGUGAAAUUCGUAGAUAUCGGGAGGAAUACCGGUGGCGAAGGCGACUUUCUGGCUGGAUACUGACGCUGAGGCGCGAAAGCGUGGGGAGCAAACA
This 445-nucleotide ribosomal RNA is filed under the name uncultured delta proteobacterium. RNAcentral's name for it is "bacterial SSU rRNA". It matches the Rfam family "Bacterial small subunit ribosomal RNA", at positions 338 to 774 of the family's 1533-position model. Lineage: Bacteria; Deltaproteobacteria. The record is from RNAcentral.